CCGCGUAUCCAGACUGGCAAUUGUAUAGCCGCUUUCCAUCACCGUUGGUGUCCGCAGAGGCGCUUAUCAGCACUACCAAGUGUGAACAGAAGCUGCGCAUGCGCGUUGCGGAUUUUGGUGGAACCCACAGGUCCCCGUGAGCACGAUUCCAUCUCGGCCCUCACCGCGUGGAGCCUCGUGUUCAUAUCGGACAUCACUCUCGCCUACUCUGCAGCGGGAUCUUGAAGGUCGUGAGGCGGUGGCCGAACAUCUGGUUGAGGAGAUCCCGCUGCGACUGGGCCGACUUGCAGCUGGCGGGCAGUGCCGGCCGUGGCCUCGGGGUGUGAGGGCCCCCCGUGCGACUCCCACCGCAGAGGGAAUCGAGCAGCGGCCUCCUGUGGGGCCCCGGCACCUCGCGCGAGGAGGAGUGGCUCGAGAAGAAGGCCGUGUAGAGGGUGCCGACGCUGGACCUGGAGUCUUCAAGGCGAGACCCAGGUGGUGUCCAUGACGAGGUAUGGUCUGGUUGGGGUGGCCGGGCUUGGGGGCCCUUGCCGCCACCUUGAGGCGCUUGCCGGGUGCCUCCCUACAACCGCCGGUGGGGCCAGCGCUGUCACAGGGCCGCUUGGGGCCUCUCUGGGGCUUAUCAGGUUCUGCUUGGAUACGACCUCCACAUUGCAGUGGACAAGUGCCAACCGCGACGCAUAUUAAGGAGGAUGAUGGUUCUUGCCUUCUGCCUGGACUGGGUGGAGGACUGAAAGCACGAGACACUGCAGACCAUGACGCUGUGGCGUGGCCUCACCCAGGCUACCCGACUAAGACGGUGGCUUCGGAGACGUCACUUGCGAUCGGACUGGUGAUUAUAAUUGUCGGAGAGCAGCGCCAUCACCCGCGGGGUCCCGUCACACUCACGUCCCACGCACGGCCCCGUCUCACGCGUCUCACGCGUCCCACGUACGACUCGUGCCCAAGUCGCUUCCCGUCUCGCACUCGGCACGCGCCCAGACUCGUUCCGCCCCGGGACAGACGGAGGCCGGCAGCAGCGGGAGCCACCUGCGCAGAUGAGGAUCGGUGACGGAGUCACGAACACUGAGACCUGAGUUGGAUUCUCAAUCACGGUCAACACCAGCAGCGGACCGAGGCCACGGGGAAUUCGACUCCAUGAGGCACCGCGCGGCUCCUGGGUAGCAGCAGCAGCAGAGAAGGCGGAUGAAGCGAAACGCUUCCGAGAUCUUCCCGGAGCCUGCACGGAGCCUCCUGGAGCCACGGUGUCCAGGUCCAGGCAGGGCUCCUCUUCCCAACAAAAACACAACGCGUUUCACGUGGCGAAGUAUUUGAGGCAUUUGAGGUUCUGGCAGCUUCUCCGCCCAAGAGAGAACUACCCAGGGCUACAGCAGCAGCAGCAGCAACAUCGUCAUCGUCAUCAUCUCCACGAUCAUCAUCACCACCACCAUCAUCAUCAUAUGCGCGGCCAAGCUUCUGGACAUGAGUGCACGAGGCAGGCACUGAUCAAGAGAUCUCUGAGACUUCCUGGUGCUCGGUUAUUGUGCUUCACGUGGCCUGAGUGUGAAACUUCACCUGGGGGACCUCACCUGGGGGACCUCACCUGGAAGACCCCACCUCACCUGGGGAACCCCACCUGCUUACCCCCCCCCCACCACCACCAAACACUGACCCUGGGAUGGAUAACAUCUGUGAAAUA
This is a long non-coding RNA of Lethenteron reissneri (Far Eastern brook lamprey), 1678 nucleotides long. RefSeq lists it as uncharacterized. Lineage: Eukaryota; Metazoa; Chordata; Hyperoartia; Petromyzontiformes; Petromyzontidae. The record is from RefSeq and is a predicted model, not a curated record.